UACGUAGGGUGCAAGCGUUGUCCGGAAUUAUUGGGCGUAAAGAGCUCGUAGGCGGUCUGUCGCGUCGAAUGUGAAAACCCGGGGCUCAACCCCGGGCCUGCAUUCGAUACGGGCAGACUAGAGUUCGGUAGGGGAGUCUGGAAUUCCUGGUGUAGCGGUGAAAUGCGCAGAUAUCAGGAGGAACACCGGUGGCGAAGGCGGCUUCCUGGCCUGUUCUUGACGCUGAGGCGCGAAAGCUAGGGGAGCAAACGGG
This 253-nucleotide ribosomal RNA is filed under the name uncultured bacterium. Its description in RNAcentral is "partial 16S ribosomal RNA". It matches the Rfam family "Bacterial small subunit ribosomal RNA", at positions 524 to 776 of the family's 1533-position model. The record is from RNAcentral.